AAUGAACGCUGGCGGUGUGCUUAACACAUGCAAGUCGAGCGAGAAAGCUCCUUCGGGAGUGAGUAAAGCGGCGGACGAGUUAGUAACACGUGAGAAUCUGCCCUUCAGUGAAGAAUACCCUCGAGAAAUCGAGGUUAAUGCUGCAUACGUCCCUUCGGGGAGAAAGGUGGCCUCUUGCUGCCGCUGAAGGAUGAGCUUGCGGACUAUUAGCUAGUUGGUGGGGUAAAGGCCUACCAAGGCUAUGAUGGUUAGCCGGCCCGAGAGGGCGUCCGGCAACGCUGGAACUUAGACACGGUCCAGACUCCUACGGGGGGGCAGCAGUGAGGAAUCUUGCGCAAUGGGCGAAAGCCUGACGCAGCGACACCGCGUGGAGGAUGAAGGUCUUCGGAUCGUAAACUCCUGUUAAGUGGGAAGAAAGACUUAUCCUUAAUACGGAUAAGGGAUGACUGUACCAUUAGAGAAAGCACCGGCUAACUUCGUG
Molecule: ribosomal RNA, 481 nt
Filed under: uncultured bacterium
Lineage: Bacteria
Description: bacterial SSU rRNA
Rfam family: Bacterial small subunit ribosomal RNA
Source: RNAcentral